Molecule: non-coding RNA, 24 nt
Filed under: Cricetulus griseus (Chinese hamster)
Lineage: Eukaryota; Metazoa; Chordata; Mammalia; Rodentia; Cricetidae
Source: RNAcentral
CUGGAAAGGUUCUGAGAUGACUGU